Molecule: long non-coding RNA, 1630 nt
Filed under: Pelobates cultripes (western spadefoot toad)
Lineage: Eukaryota; Metazoa; Chordata; Amphibia; Anura; Pelobatidae
Source: RNAcentral
CAUUUUAUUUAGAUGUAAAUUGAAUACCCAUGAUUUCUUAUCAUUGCAAAUCGUCAUAAGGCCAUAGACCUGCAAUAGCAGGCAUCCAUGGCACAAACAAACUAAGAAAUGUUUUACUUAGAAAUGCUAUUUUGUAUUGCUGAGUUUCCUUCAAAUGUUAACACUGAGGUUCAUAAAUCUUCAGUCCUUGGAAAGAGUAGUAAUAAAUAAGUAAAAUGUAUUCAUACUAACUGUAACUUUCUUUUCCUGGAUAGAUCCAUGACUUUAUCACUAAAGGGUAGCUCCUCCCCUCUCGACUGAUGGGACAGGAAAUAGAAACAAAGUUUAUAAAAGAGACUAACCCUCAAUCUACUAACAAGUCCAUGAGGGGGAGGAGGGAGACACUGACACUGCCUUAGAUCUAUGAACCGAAAAUUAUGGUUAGUAUAAAUAUAUAACUUCCAUAUUCCUGGAAAAUUCAUGGCCGCAUCCCUAAUGGGUAAUACCCAAGCGAAGACCCUUUCAUAAUGGGUGGGACCUAAAAUAUACACAAAACACGUGUUUACAAAUGCAAAAGUAAAGUUUUUAAUUCGAAGUAACAGAAUUGAGGACAUCACAACCAAACUGAGCAUCCUUAGCAGCCGUGGCAUCAAGAUAAUAAUACUUCAUAAGUGAAUUAACUGAAGUCCAAGUUGCUGCCUUGCAAAUGCUCUCAACAGCAAUCUUUGCUGCAGUCGCAAACAAAGUGUAGAGAGAGACCUAGUUGAAUUAGCCUUAAUUCCAUUCUGGAUUUCAAUAUUUUCAGUCUAAUAAGCUUUAAUAUUUGUGGUCUCUAUCCAUCUGUUCAAAUCGGUUUGCCAGGAACUAUUUAAAAUUAAGUAAACUGAAGGACAACUCACCACAUGCAAAGUGCGCCAAUGAGCUUGUUCGUCCAUUUUGUGAAUUAGGAAUAAACGUAAAUCCGAAACUAUCUUCUGCCUGAAUUCAGGAGUACCGUGAAGGAAGAUAUCCUGAUGAAAAAGUGUAAGGUCCAGGCUCGAAAGGGACUGAAAUUCCAAUACUAUUCUGGCUGAGGUUACAGCAACUAAUAAAAUGGCUUUUUUAAAGUCAGGAGGUAAUCCAAAAUUUCUUGGAUGGGUUCUAAUGGAGGAGAAGAUAGAGCCCUAAGGGAAGAUCCCAUUGUGGCAACCAUGUCCUUAAUGGAUGUCUGAUUUUCAUGAGUCAUAAAUAUUGCAACCAUAGGUUCUAAGAACCAUUGGACACCCUUAAGAACUGAUAACCGUGAAAUCUGUAAAUGAAGUGUUGUGAGACUUAAAGCCUUACCAAGGCCAUACUGGAGGAAUUUUAGAACAUCAACAAGGGUCUAGAAGUUGACAAUUUCUGGAUUGAGCCCAAUCAGGGAAACCAUCCGAAUUCUGUUAUAAGUAGCAGAAAUUGAUUUUUAUUUUUUUUUCCUAAUCUGAAGUAAGCUAGACACUACUGUCUCUGAACAUCCUAAAUCUUGCAAAGAUUGCCAUUCAACCUUCAUGCCAUCAGGGCCGAUACUUCUUGUUAGUUAUUAUCUUCCCCACCUCUUUUUAUGAAUAUAUUAGUGUUAUGAGUCCCGGUAUAAUUUCCUAUAUAUGGUUAAUUGUAUUAAAUUGAGUUUGUC